Molecule: small nuclear RNA, 110 nt
Organism: Phyllostomus discolor (pale spear-nosed bat)
Lineage: Eukaryota; Metazoa; Chordata; Mammalia; Chiroptera; Phyllostomidae
Source: RefSeq, a predicted model, not a curated record
GUGCUCUUUUAGGCAGCACAUAUACUAAAAUUGGAAUGAUACAGAGAAGAUUAUCAUGGCCCCUGCACAAGGAUGACACACAAAUAAGCAUAUAAAAACAUGCUAAAUAU